CUCUGAGACAGGUGCUGCANGGCUGUCGUCAGCUCGUNUUGUGAAAUGUUGGGUUAAGUCCCGCAACGAGCGCAACCCUUAUCCUUGUUUGCCAGCACGUAAUGGUGGGAACUCCAGGGAGACUGCCGGUGAUAAACCGGAGGAAGGUGGGGACGACGUCAAGUCAUCAUGGCCCUUACGAGUAGGGCUACACACGUGCUACAAUGGCGCAUACAGAGGGCAGCCAACCAGCGAUGGUGAGCGAAUCCCAAAAAGUGCGUCGUAGUCCGGAUUGGAGUCUGCAACUCGACUCCAUGAAGUCGGAAUCGCUAGUAAUCGUGAAUCAGAAUGUCACGGUGAAUACGUUCCCGGGCCUUGUACACACCGNCCGNCNCACCAUGGGAGUGGGCUGCAAAAGAAGUGGGUAGUUAACNUCGGAGGACG
Molecule: ribosomal RNA, 423 nt
Filed under: Vibrio sp. MR11-41
Lineage: Bacteria; Pseudomonadati; Pseudomonadota; Gammaproteobacteria; Vibrionales; Vibrionaceae
Description: bacterial SSU rRNA
Rfam family: Bacterial small subunit ribosomal RNA
Source: RNAcentral